AUGCCUAUCCGUGCUUCGCUUUGCGCAGAUGACGCCGCUGUUUUUCUUGCACCUAUUAAGGAGGACGUCCAGUUUUUCGCCAACACUCUCAAGCACUUUGGGGAAGUCACCGGUCUGGUCACAAACUUCUCCAAAAGCUUUGUCGCCCCAAUCCGUUGUGAAAAUGUGGAUCUCCCGGAUAUCCUCCAAUCCUUCCCGGCCAUGGGAUGCUCCUUUCCGAUGAAAUACCUUGGGUUGCCUUUGUCUGUCAAGAGACUGAAGAGAAUUCACUACCAGCCCCUCGAGGACAAGGUUGCGGGCCAACUCACUCCUUGGGUGGGGAGGCAUGUUGCCUCAGCGGGUCGCGUUGUCUUGGUAAAGUCUGUCCUCACAGCAAUUGUUGUCUACUACAUGACGGCGUUAGAUUUAUCGGUGGAGGUCAAGAAGAAAAUUGAUGCCCUCAGACGUGCUUUUCUUUGGGCAGGUUGUGAUAAUUAA
Molecule: ribosomal RNA, 477 nt
Filed under: Triticum aestivum (bread wheat)
Lineage: Eukaryota; Viridiplantae; Streptophyta; Magnoliopsida; Poales; Poaceae
Description: partial small subunit ribosomal RNA
Source: RNAcentral